Molecule: non-coding RNA, 529 nt
Organism: Labrus bergylta (ballan wrasse)
Lineage: Eukaryota; Metazoa; Chordata; Actinopteri; Labriformes; Labridae
Source: RefSeq, a predicted model, not a curated record
GGUAAGCGGCACAUUUCAUCAUUUGUUCUCAUAAUUACUAAGUAUUAACAAGAAAGCUUUAUGAAUGGGUAAGUGGUGAACAUAAAUUCCUCUUGAAAGCUUUAAUAUGUCCUGAUUUAACAAUUUACAAAAUGAAUAAUUAAUACGUGAUGUCCGAAUUUAUUCAAAUAAUAAUCUCUUCUGAAUAAGAGCUUGAACCAUAAUCCCUUAUUGUCCUUUGUAUUUUUCAGUGAUUUUGCCAGUCUUCAUCGCCACCAUUGUCGUCUUCCUGGUGCUAGUAUGUGCUCUACUCUUUGUUAUCAGGGCUCAGAGGACUCAACACAACCUGCUUAAGAGUCAGGGUCAGGUAACGCCAGCACAGUUGCUAUGAGCCAACAUCUACCAAGUGGAAAAGGAGAUGAGGAACUCAACAAAACAAAUGAGGGCAUUUAUGCUAACACCACUCAGCUGAAGAAAAGGUGUCACCCAACUGCAACUACCUCUGAGCCAAUCAGCACCAACUUACCAAGCUCAGGCCAAAACAACACAG